GACGAACGCUGGCGGCGUGCUUAACACAUGCAAGUCGAACGGAAAGGCCCUGCUUGCAGGGUACUUGAGUGGCGAACGGGUGAGUAACACGUGGGUGAUCUGCCCUGCACUUCGGGAUAAGCCUGGGAAACUGGGUCUAAUACCGGAUAGGAGCCAUCUUUAGUGUGAUGGUUGGAAAGUUUUUUCGGUGUAGGAUGAGCUCGCGGCCUAUCAGCUUGUUGGUGGGGUAAUGGCCUACCAAGGCGGCGACGGGUAGCCGGCCUGAGAGGGUGGACGGCCACAUUGGGACUGAGAUACGGCCCAGACUCCUACGGGAGGCAGCAGUGGGGAAUAUUGCACAAUGGGCGCAAGCCUGAUGCAGCGACGCCGCGUGGGGGAUGACGGCCUUCGGGUUGUAAACUCCUUUCGCUAGGGACGAAGCUUUUUGUGACGGUACCUAGAUAAGAAGCACCGGCUAACUACGUG
Molecule: ribosomal RNA, 465 nt
Filed under: uncultured bacterium
Lineage: Bacteria
Description: partial 16S ribosomal RNA
Rfam family: Bacterial small subunit ribosomal RNA
Source: RNAcentral